CUUUUUUUGUCCUUUGUGGUCGUAUAAAAUGUGUAUCCAUUAAUUUCAUAUGCUUGCCAUGAGGUGACAUUGCUUGAUGGCCCAAAUGCCAACCUGGUCAAUGUUACUUCUUCUGUGGAAUUUCCUUGAAAUAGCUACUCAUGAUCCUUCAACCAUGAUGGGAAACACCGCUUUUGCUCUUUGAUGAUCCAAUCCUCUUAGCGACCAUUACUUUGUCCAUGGACCUCAUUUAGGUGUUGCUCGAUGAAGAGAUCCACUAUUGCAAGCUAUUGUAGAAUGCUUGAAUGCGCUUUCUCCAAUUGUUGCUUGUCAUUGUCUAUAAAUCUUUUCAUUCCAAUGGUACCUCUCCCGGACAAUCUGCCCUCAUGUCGAGAUUUCAGUAAAUCAAUAGCUCUCUUAUCUUUUAUGGAAUCUAUGCAACAAUCUAAUGAGGACAUCACCUGCUCCGAUACAACCACAUUAGUAACUUUUGAUUCACAGGUGAAACAAUUCUUUACCAUUAUUGUAUUUGAUAUAUUUGAUGAAUUGAUGUUGCACCAUGAUGUGUGUUUGUUGUCAAUUUCAGAAAUACAUACAUGGAUAAAAAAUAGUGUUAAACACACAUGGAAGGUAUGGAGGAUCAAAGAAGUAGAUUGGGGGCCAAGUCCAAGUAUUCCCGACGUCCUCCACCAGGCCACCACGUCACUUUUGGCCAAAGGAAAGAAAGAGAUUCAAUCCAACCAUCACAAUCAACACUCUCUUCUAUAUGGUAGCUCUCGAUCAUGCUGCCCUCUGUAAAGGUCUUGUUUCUCAUGUAUCCAUUGAGAUUUGACAUGAACUAUUUGCAUGUCCACAUCUGAUGGAAGUACAUAGGCCCUAGUUCAGUUAUUUACUGAACCAUGUGGACCAUGAGAUAUUCCAUGAUAUUGAAAAAGGACGAAGGGAAGCACAUAUUGAGCUGGGCCUAAAUUUCCAGUACAAACAGUUGAAGCCUAGCCAACUCGACACGAUCGAUCACUUUCUACAAAAUCACGUUGAAGAAGUAACAUAUCCGUGUGAUAACAUGAUCAUUUUCAUUUACAUCAUCACCACCCACUUCGUCACGGUCACUGUCGAUGUCUGUGUUGUUGAAAGUACCUCCUGCCUCACAGUGGUGGGACCAAAUUGUGUAUCCAUCCACAAACCCUCGCUUUAUCAAAUACCUCUUGAUGACAUCAGUAUCAUCCCAUACAAUAUUGUUGCAAACGUGAGCGUGCUUCUUCGUAGCGUCUGACAUGAAAGUAUGCGAAUGUCUCCGUAUGCCAUACAUACAUGCUCUAUUACCCAUAUUUAACAACCUAUGACCAGAAUUAUAUGUUAUACUAACUAAUUUAAUGAGCUAUGGGUUGCAAUUCUAUAAACUAAAAUAAAUUAUGGAUGUAGUAACUAAUAAGUAGAAAGAAAUAUAAUAAAAAUAAUUCUAUAUUACCCUAAAUGAAACUCAAUUAAACCUUAGAUGUUAUAAUUAAUAAGAAGAAGGAAAAAAAUCAAACUUAAUUAUCUAUUAAUUCAAUCAACUUCAUUAAUUAAAACUAUGGAUGUAAUAAUUAAUAAGAGGAAAAAUAUAGUAAUUUGCCAGUUCUAUAUUACCCUAUAUGAGACUCAAUUGAACCAUGGAUGCAAUAAUUAAUAAGAAGAAGGAAAAAAUCGAAUUCAAUUAUAUAUUAAGAUAAUCAACUUCAUUAAUUACAACUACGGACAUAAUAAUUAAUAAGUAGGAAAAAUAUAAUCAAACUCAAUUCUAUAUUACAUUAAAAUGACAAACAUAGCAUUGUAAUGGUUAUAAUAUGACCAUAGAAUUUUAUUUAAAAAAUAAUCCAUUUCUAGUUAUUUUCUCUCUCUUCCCUCCUCUCUCUCCUAGUUCUAGAUCUAGAUGACAACCUAAUAAAGCUAGAAAUGAUGGAUAGAAGUUGAAAAAGAAGGUUGGAAUGACACAAACUCACCUUAUAUAGCCACUUCCUCCCAAGAAAUCAGGAACAAAACCUUCACCCUUGGAUUUGGUAUUUUUGGAGCUUUUCCCGAGCUCCACUCGGGCAAGCUCCAAAUGGAAGGUUGCCUGGGAAAGAAGAUGCCUGCGGCCUUAAAUGGGCUAGCUCUGUGCUGGCGAGCGACAUAAGCCAACCGCCAGCACAGUUGGGGUGCAUCUAUGCUGGCGGAUGCUUAGGUUGCUCGCUAGUACAGUGGCUUCUAUGCUGGUGGGCGACAUAAGCCCACUGCUGGCAGGUCCUUGCGUCGCCCGCCACCACAGUAGCUUCUAUGCUGGCGGGUGCUAAUCACGCCCGCUAGCACGCUAAUUUGCUAGUGCCAGCACAAAUCAAAUCUGGUGUAGUGAUGGGGGUAUGAAGCCUCUGGAGGUCAACUUGCGACAAAUAAUAGAGGCAGGAAUGAUUCGGGAUGUGCCGAUCAUCCUAGAUGUUUCCCAGGUCUCCCAUAGUCUCCCGCAGAUCAGCCUUGUAGAUCUGAUUCUUCUCUAUUCCUGAUCUUGUGGUUGUGCAAUGUCUAGAAUGUGGCGAAUGUGAAUAUCUUUCAUGUGGUCCUUCUGGGGGUAUAUAUAGUGCUGCUCCAAGUCAGUUUGCAGGCAUCUAUGGGUGAAUGGUCGAUGGAAAAAUUCUAGAAUCUUCGUAGACUUUGCGCUGAAGAAAUGAGAGCUCGAUCAAGAUCGAGAAUGGUCUAGGCUGAUCAGUUUGAGCCCUUUCUGGAUCUCCCGAUCUUCAUCUUCCUCAUGUGAGCCUUCCUCGACAAUCCUCGUCCAGUUGUACAACAAGAUUGUACCAAAUACCCUUUGAUUAUGUUGUAUUUCCUAGCAAUACAUAAUAUGCUUUGAAAUACAACAUAUACACAAUAAUGGGGUUAUUUCAUAUGUCAAGUGGUGGGUUAGAGUAACAAUUGAUCCAUAAUCAUCACUUAUUCAGUAGUAAAAAAGUGUCAUCAAGCUCUACUGGUGCAUUUUGGACCAGUAAUGGAACCUGUUACAGAGUUUAGGGACAUAAUACACGUUUUGAGAGUUUGGUGACUUGGUCGACAUAGCGGACAUGUUUGGGGACCUAUAUGACAUAGCGGGGCCCCUCAUUGUUCACAACUAGAGAAGGCCCGUUUAGUACACAUGCUCAACCCCCUUUAGUACCGGUUUCGCAACCGGUACUGCUAAGUCGGUACUAAAGGGGGGUCGUUUAGUACCGGGUCAAAUAACUAGUACUAAAGGGUCUAUAUUAGUACCGGUUGGUGUUAUCAACUGGUACUAAACUAUUUUUCGCCCUAAAACUAAAGAAAAAAAAUUGAUGAAUACCCUCAUUCGGGAUGUGCCGAUCAUCCUAGAUGUUUCCCAAGUCUCCCAUAGUCUCCCGCAACUCAGCCUUGUAAAUCUGAUUCUUCUCUAUUCCUGACCUUGUGGUUGUGCAAUGUCUAGAAUGUGGCGAAUGUGAAUAUCUUUCAUGUGGUCCUUCUGGGGGUAUAUAUAGUGCUACUCCAAGUCAGUCUGCAGGCAUCUAUGGGUGAAUGGUCGAUGGAAAAAUUCUAGAAUCUUUGUAGACUUUGCGCUGAAGAAAUGAGAGCUCAAUCAAGAUCGAGAAUGGGCCAGGCUGAUCAGUAGUGGUUGCAAGAAACACUACACGGGAAGAAGAAUACAUAUACUGGGCGCAAAUUAAGCACAUAAGUAUACACAUACUAGACAGCCAUCCUCUCUCCUCUUGUCCAAAUGCAAACAAUACUAGGGAAUCCACGUUUAGUACCGGCUCGGAACCUCCCUCUAGUACCGGUUGUGCAACCGGUACUAGCAAUUCGGUACUAGAGUGGGUCCUUUAGUACCAGUUGAAAUAACCUUAGUACCGGUUGCUAAAUUAACAUGAUGUAAUUUUCACUUAUUUUUAUACAUUUCAAAGAAUUACAUGAUUCCCUACAAUUUCUUAUACAAAAUUGUGCAUAUAUUUUAAAAAAUAAAUAUGAGCUCUAAAUAACACAUUCAUAUAAAUGAAAAAUUUCUCCAUUGUACCUUAUUCUAAAAAUCACAAAUUAUUCUAGCUCUAAAGCAUAAAACUUACUAUACUAACCAUGUAUCAAGGGAGGAUGAAGUUUCUAACCUUUAGAAUACUCGAAUGAGUGAAAUCCCCAACAAAUGGUCAAAAAUCCGGCAGCACCUCCCCUAUGGUGCCAUGGAUAGAGAAUAUAGAAAAAUUCUUUAAUUAGUGAGAAAUGAACAUUAUUUCCUACAAUUUGAUAACAUAAUUGUUGAAAUAACCAUUAAACUCAAAUGUUGCUGAAAGUUUAGAUAGAAAUACACAAAUUAAAAUUUUAGACCCAAACAAUAUGAUACACUACGACAAACUCAAAUGUUGUUGAAAGUUUAGAUAGAAAUACACAAAUUUAAAUUUCAAACGCAAACAACAUGAUACACUACGACAAACCAUCCAUUGAGUACUAUCUAGAAGGACUUUAAGCAUCCUUGGGCAGCGAACACGAAGGUUGCGCUAACCCAGCCUCAUCAUGUGGUUUAUUUGUGCCUUCUGCAACGGUAGUACUAAGUGGACCUGAAACACCUGAGACUGGCGGUGGAGCAUAACGACCACCAAAAUGAGGUUUUUUACCCACCGCAACAAUAUUUUUAUGACAUCUUCGCAAAUAACGAAGUAUUGCUUUCUCCAACGUGCUCAUUUUCUUCAGCUUAUCAUGAGAGCUAACCCCUUGUUGCGAGAGGAACGAUGAUCACCCCACCAUCGCCACUACCUCUAGCAGCAGAAGCCAUCUCUAUGUACCACAAUUUAUUUAGCUCAUAUUUACAAAUGACUAAAUUACGAACAAAUUAUAUAUUUUCCAUGUAAUUUAAUUAGCUCAAACAUAAUAUAUAAAUAAAAAAUUUCUCCAUUGUAGCUUAUUCUAAAAAUGACUAAUUACGUACCUCUAUUUCAUCUUAUUAUCGAUCUCUAUGUACCACAGUUUAUCUCGCUCGCAUUUGCCAUAAUUUAUUUAGCUCAUAUUUGAAAAAUACUAAACUCUAACAUCAUAUCAAUUUCUUUGACUAGUAUGAAACAUAGCAUCCAAACAAUUGUAGCUUAUUCCAAAAAUCACAAAUUACUCUAAGUCUAAAGCAUAAAACUUAGUAUACUAACCAUGUAUCAAGUGAGGAUGAAGUUUCUAACCUUAAGAACACUCGAAUGAGUGAAAUCCUCAAGAAAUGGUCACAAAUCCGACAGCACCUCCCCCUAUUUCGCCAUGGAUAAGGUGAAGCUCAAGUUGGAGGAGAUGGCUCGGGCUGCAGGAAGAAGGAUGGGUAUUUAUAGGAGGGAUUUUAGUACCGGUUGGGGGCACCAACCGGUACUAAAGGGGGAAAAUUAGUACCAGUUGAUGCCCUAACCUGGUACUAAAGGGGUGUGCCACAUUAGUACCGGGUUAGGGCAGCAACCGAUACUAAAGGGGGUGGCGCAUUAGUACCAGUUGGAUCCACCAACCAGUACUACCUUUAGUACCAGUUGUUGCCUCUAACCGGUACUAAGGGGCUCACAGCGCCCUCUCAGGGACUAGCCGGGCAAAAAGUGAUCAGUCUCGGGACGAGAGCUCCAUUCCCUAGUAGUGAAAGUAAGCAAUACAUGCGAGUUGAUGAGAACAAAAGAAAGAAGAAAUGCAUACUAGAAUUACAAAUCAACAGCCCGAAUUUGCAUUAAUAGAUACAGAAUGCGUCCUCCUUUGCUCUCAAAAGUUUUUCAUAGUACACUUUCCCAUCCAUGACGGACGUCUAGUUAGACUCGAGCUGCGCGUACCAGAUCCCCUGGAUCUUCACAUCCUUAGGUGCCUUGGCCCCAAGGUCGGUGUCCGACGGCUGCACACUCUCGAAGACACCGAUGACCUCGCCAGUUUCCGGGUUGCUCUUGGUGACGCUCAAUGUGAUGUUGCCCGUCGACGACGCAGCGUUCUUGAUGUUCUCCUUCACGAGCUCCUCCUCGUCUCCCCUGCCUCCGGCGGGGAGCGCGACGGCGUUGUCGUACCCGGUCGAACCACCACGGCCCUUGGGGUCGAGGAAGGAGGAGCCACGGUAGCUGGGCACAAGGAAGGGCCCGCCGAAGCUCUCGGGCUUGCCGGUGGCGACGAGCUGCUUGACGGUGAAGAGGAACGGCACGCGCUCGCCUCCUGGAAGCUGCACGGUGACGGCGGCGUAGUCGAUGCCGUCCUUCUCCUCGAACUUGAGGGUGCCGUCGGAGCCGACCUCGAGCGGGCCCUCGAUCUCGUCGAGGGUGUAGGUGAGGCGGGUCAUGAGCUUGGUCUUCUGGAACUCGGGCGGGGCGUUCUUGGCGAUGCCCUCGGCCUUGACGGUGAAGGACGUCGGCUCCAGGCAGAACUUCUUCAUCUGGUACUUGCCGGCCUUGAACGGGAAGGAGUCGACGCCGCCGUCGAUGGUCGGGCACUGGUUCGCCGUGCCCGUGCCCUUCACCUCCAUGUACGUCUUGCUCUGGAUCUCGUCGUAGGUCAGCCUCUUGGGCGUGCCCUCCGCGCUCGCGCCCUGUAACACGCACGCACACGUCAUCAAUUUGUCUCCCAAGUCCCAACUAUGAUAACAAAUCGGAUUCAGCCACGGUUGCUUACCGAGACGAGGAGCGCCGAUGUGGCGAGCGCGAAGCCGGCGAGCUUGGCGGCGUCGAUGCACUUGCUGGCGACCUCCCUGACGUCGGACUGCAGGGAGCACGAGAUCCUGCCCGCGCCGGCGUCGACGCCGAACGCCCUGGCGACGUGGGAGGCCUGGCGGGACGGCAGCGAGGCGGAGGCCCGGCCGCCGAUCUUGGCCGGCUGCAUUAGGGUGGCCGCGGCUUGGAGUGACGCUGCCAUGGUCGUCGUCGCUGCGCCUGCGCUGUCCUGCCUCUGGUGUGAGAUUGUGUGUCGCGAAAGGC
RNAcentral lists this long non-coding RNA (6890 nucleotides) under Setaria viridis. RNAcentral describes it as "long non-coding RNA (SVIR_LNC005493)". Lineage: Eukaryota; Viridiplantae; Streptophyta; Magnoliopsida; Poales; Poaceae. The record is from RNAcentral.